This 283-nucleotide long non-coding RNA is filed under the name Hordeum vulgare. RNAcentral's name for it is "long non-coding RNA (HVUL_LNC002359)". Lineage: Eukaryota; Viridiplantae; Streptophyta; Magnoliopsida; Poales; Poaceae. The record is from RNAcentral.
AUGAGCACAAGCAAGGAGGCUUGUCAAUCCCACAACAAAACUCAAAAACAGGGACUAAACACGCAAGAAACUAUAACUUUGCAAGGGCAAGUCUCCCCCAUGGCGCUUCUCAAGGACCCGAUGGCUCUUUUCUUGGCAGCAAUUGUGGUGACCGCUAUGGUCAUGCCAUCAUGCUAUGCUGCACAAGGUAUAGUCAUCAACAUCUCUUCACAGGCAUAUUAGGAAAAAGUUGAUUUAUAAUACAUGUCUAUAUACAGAUUUAUAAUACAUGUCAUAUUUUCAU